UGCAAGUCGAACGGAGAUGUUUAUUUCGGUAGACAUCUUAGUGGCGCACGGGUGAGUAACGCGUGAAUAACCUGACCCGAAGAGGGGGAUAACACCUGGAAACAAGUGCUAAUACCGCAUAAGACCACGGACCGGCAUCGGUCAGAGGUCAAAGGAGGAAUCCGCUUUGGGAGGGGUUCGCGUCCCAUUAGGUAGUUGGUGAGGUAACGGCCCACCAAGCCGACGAUGGGUAGCCGAGCUGAGAGGCUGAUCGGCCACACUGGAACUGAGACACGGUCCAGACUCC
RNAcentral lists this ribosomal RNA (286 nucleotides) under uncultured bacterium. Its description in RNAcentral is "partial 16S ribosomal RNA". It matches the Rfam family "Bacterial small subunit ribosomal RNA", at positions 56 to 339 of the family's 1533-position model. The record is from RNAcentral.